RNAcentral lists this ribosomal RNA (482 nucleotides) under uncultured bacterium. RNAcentral's name for it is "bacterial SSU rRNA". It matches the Rfam family "Bacterial small subunit ribosomal RNA", at positions 30 to 507 of the family's 1533-position model. The record is from RNAcentral.
AUUGAACGCUGGCGGCAUGCCUUACACAUGCAAGUCGAACGGUAACAGGUCUUCGGACGCUGACGAGUGGCGAACGGGUGAGUAACGCAUCGGAACGUGCCCAGUAGUGGGGGAUAGCCCGGCGAAAGCCGGAUUAAUACCGCAUACGACCUGAGGGUGAAAGGGGGGGAUCGCAAGACCUCUCGCUAUUGGAGCGGCCGAUGUCAGAUUAGCUAGUUGGUGGGGUAAAGGCCUACCAAGGCAACGAUCUGUAGUUGGUCUGAGAGGACGACCAGCCACACUGGGACUGAGACACGGCCCAGACUCCUACGGGAGGCAGCAGUGGGGAAUUUUGGACAAUGGGCGCAAGCCUGAUCCAGCAAUGCCGCGUGCAGGAAGAAGGCCUUCGGGUUGUAAACUGCUUUUGUCAGGGAAGAAAUCUUCUGGGUUAAUACCUCGGGAGGAUGACGGUACCUGAAGAAUAAGCACCGGCUAACUACGUG